Non-coding RNA from Pelobates cultripes (western spadefoot toad), 263 nucleotides. The record is from the annotation of a GenBank genome assembly. Lineage: Eukaryota; Metazoa; Chordata; Amphibia; Anura; Pelobatidae.
CUUAGUAUUAGUAAAUUUGGCUGAAAAGACCAAUUUAUGUCUUUCAGCCUUUUAGUAGAUAGCUCUCUAAUACCGUGGGAAUUAGGGAGUUAUCUACUUAUUCAUUCCUGUCAUUACACUGACUGACUAAGUAACUUACAUUUUAUAUGAAUGUAUGUUACUUGAUUGUUGUAAGUGUUGCAAAUGCUUACAGCUGAAUCCUGGCUAUGUUUGUAUACUUUUUAUUUAAAAUUGUAUACAAUGUAACAUUCUUCUUCUUUCAA